UACGUAGGGAGCGAGCGUUGUCCGGAAUCACUGGGCGUAAAGGGCGCGUAGGCGGCAUUGCAAGUUGCAUGUGAAAUACCAUGGCUCAACCAUGGGGUGUCAUGCAAAACUGUAAAGCUUGAGUGCAGUAGAGGAAAGCGGAAUUCCUGGUGUAGCGGUAAAAUGCGUAGAGAUCUAGGAGAAACACCGGUGGCGAAGGCGGCUUUCUGGGCUGUAACUGACGCUGAGGCGCGAAAGCGUGGGGAGCGAACAGGAUUA
RNAcentral lists this ribosomal RNA (258 nucleotides) under uncultured prokaryote. RNAcentral's name for it is "partial 16S ribosomal RNA". It matches the Rfam family "Bacterial small subunit ribosomal RNA", at positions 524 to 780 of the family's 1533-position model. The record is from RNAcentral.